CAGCGGCGCUGCCUGCGGGCGCAGCAGCAGCGCUCGGAGCCCCCCGAGGAGCUGCGGCGCCGCGCCCUGGCCGACCCCGAGGUGCAGCAGAUCAUGGGGGACCCGGCCAUGCGCCUCAUCCUGGAGCAGAUGCAGAAGGACCCCCAGGCCCUCAGCGAGCACCUCAAGAACCCCCUGAUAGCCCAGAAGAUCCAGAAGCUGAUGGACGUGGGGCUCAUCGCCAUCCGGUGACCCCCCCAAAAACCCCGGGGACCCCCCUGGGCCCCCCCCGGGGACACCCCCACCCCUCGGGGGGGGUCUGGGGGCGCUACCCCUCCCCCCCCCGCCCCUCCUGUCGGUUUUGGGGCGCUGCCACCCCCAAUAAAGAGCGGAGCAGUGA
Non-coding RNA from Lonchura striata (white-rumped munia), 379 nucleotides. NCBI's taxonomy places the organism in Eukaryota, Metazoa, Chordata, Aves, Passeriformes, Estrildidae. The record is from RefSeq and is a predicted model, not a curated record.